This 468-nucleotide ribosomal RNA is filed under the name uncultured bacterium. RNAcentral's name for it is "partial 16S ribosomal RNA". It matches the Rfam family "Bacterial small subunit ribosomal RNA", at positions 28 to 507 of the family's 1533-position model. The record is from RNAcentral.
GACGAACGCUGGCGGCGUGCUUAACACAUGCAAGUCGAACGGAAAGGCCCUGCUUUUGUGGGGUGCUCGAGUGGCGAACGGGUGAGUAACACGUGAGUAACCUGCCCUUGACUUUGGGAUAACUUCAGGAAACUGGGGCUAAUACCGGAUAGGAGCUCCUGCUGCACGGUGGGGGUUGGCCAGUUUCGGCGGUUGGGGAUGGACUCGCGGCUUAUCAGCUUGUUGGUGGGGUAGUGGCUUACCAAGGCUUUGACGGUUAGCCGGCCUGAGAGGGUGACCGGCCACAUUGGGACUGAGAUACGGCCCAGACUCCUACGGGAGGCAGCAGUGAGGAAUAUUGCACAAUGGGCGGAAGCCUGAUGCAGCAACGCGGCGGGCGGGAUGACGGCCUUCGGGUUGUAAACCGCUUUCGCCUGUGACGAAGCGUGAGUGACGGUAAUGGGUAAAGAAGCACCGGCUAACUACGUG